This 1179-nucleotide long non-coding RNA is filed under the name Felis catus (domestic cat). RNAcentral's name for it is "lncRNA (ENSFCAG00000049422.1)". The record is from RNAcentral. Lineage: Eukaryota; Metazoa; Chordata; Mammalia; Carnivora; Felidae.
AUGCUCAACCGAGGGAGCCCCCCAGGCGCCCCAAAAUCUGGCAAGAUUUUUAUCCGCAGUGUUGUUCAAACUCGGUAUCUGGUGGCGUCCCUAACGCUGUUUUCCUUUCCUCUCUCGGUUACCCAGGACGAAGGCGGAGGGGUGGGCCUUCUUUCCCCUUCCCCCGUGGAUGCCCCCACGUGCUCUCGUCUGCCGCAGAGCCCACGCAGGUGCUUCCCCGCGGGCAAUGGCGCGCACCUUGGGGGGUCCUGGUGCGGCACAAGCCAGACCGUCUCUCGGCCCCCGCGGCACACAGGGCCCUCCUCCGCCAGGGGCCCCACCACCGUCCCUGAGGGGUGUGCUCUCCUCCCACGUGGGAGCCCCCUCUGCCUCUGGUGCCGAGGCCCCGGCCCCAGGCCUGCACCGGCUCAGGCGUCCCCGCCGCCCCCCGCCCCAGCUCCCCGGAAAGCCAGGCUGCGGCCCCGACCGGCUGUGCCCUCGGCUCCUGCCGCGAGGCCGCCCCCCGGCUCGCCUCACACGGGAGGGGCGUCCGUCUUCAGACUGUGGCCCGCGGACGGACCCCGUCUCAGGUGGGGCCCUGCCCCGCGGCCUCCCCUCCCUCCCGCCGCGACCCCGCCGCGCAAGGCCUCUGGGGCUCAUGGGCUCACGGAAGUGAAACUGUCCGUUGGCCGCCACCUGCUACUGGCGGCUCUCGCGGGGCCCCGGGGGCGGGAGUGCCCGCGGCUGCUGCGAGUGCGGCUGGGGGUGGGCCGGCGGCCGCCAGGCCUCCACCGGGGGCGGGUGCAGGCUCCGGCGCGGGCGGGGCGGCGAGAGCCACUGGUCGCUACUCACUGCGUCCGCCCGUGGCUGCGCUGGAGCCGGUGGGAAGGCUCCGUGGUGGCGAUGAGUCUCGUUUUUACACUUCCACUCGCAGCGACGGCAGCGCCUCGUGUUUGCGCAGCGCUUCUGGGGGACGGGCACCAUCUACGACCUGUCCACGUGCCAACUCCGUCUGUGCUCCCAGCAGUGUCACAGCCCGGGGGCCUCACCGGGCCCGUCUUACGGCCACGGACGCUGAGGCUGAGGAGGGGGCUUGCGGCCCGGCUGGCCGCACCACCCGGCUGCGGGGGGUCUCCCGUGGGCCUCCGUGGGCGUUUCCGGCAGGAGACGGGGAGCCCACGGGCCCACCUCGGUCCCUGA